UGAAGGUCCGAGCGUUAUUCGGAAUCACUGGGCUUAAAGCGUACGCAGGCGGAUUUGUAGGUAUCUUGUGAAAUCCCACGGCUCAACCGUGGAACUGCAGGGUAAACCACAAAUCUUGAGACAAGUAGGGGUUAGUGGAACGAUAUGUGGAGCGGUGAAAUGCGUAGAUAUAUAUCGGAACGCCAAUGGCGAAGGCAGCUAACUGGGCUUUGUCUGACGCUCAGGUACGAAAGCGUGGGUAGCGAACGGGAUUAGAUACCCCGGUAGUCCACGCCGUAAACGAUGCACACUAGGUCGCGGUACCUCUCAUGGUUUCGCGGCCGAAGGUAAACUGGUAAGUGUGCCGCCUGGGGAGUACGGUCGCAAGGCUAAAACUCAAAGGAAUUGACGGGGGCUCACACAAGCGGUGGAGCAUGUUGCUUAAUUCGAGGCAACGCGAAGAACCUUACCUAGGCUUGACAUGUAUGGAUUAGCAUUAUGAAAGUUUUGUGACACUCUUGAGUGGAACAUACACAGGUGCUGCAUGGCUGUCGUCAGCUCGUGCUGUGAAGUGUCGGGUUAAGUCCCUUAACGAGCGCAACCCCUAUCGUUAGUUACUAACGCGUUAUGGCGAGGACUCUAGCGAGACUGCCGGUGUCAAACCGGAGGAAGGUGGGGAUGACGUCAAGUCAGCAUGGCCCUUAUGCCUAGGGAUGCAAACGUGCUACAAUGGCAUGGACAAAGCGAUGCAAUACCGCGAGGUGGAGCAAAUCGCAAAAACCAUGCCCCAGUUCGGAUAGCAGGCUGAAAUUCGCCUGCUUGAAGCCGGAAUCGCUAGUAAUCGCGUAUCAGCUACGACGCGGUGAAUACGUUCCUGAGCCUU
RNAcentral lists this ribosomal RNA (862 nucleotides) under uncultured organism. RNAcentral describes it as "bacterial SSU rRNA". It matches the Rfam family "Bacterial small subunit ribosomal RNA", at positions 527 to 1382 of the family's 1533-position model. The record is from RNAcentral.